CACGUUGAAACACCAGUUCUCGUACGACCACGAAAGUUAAGCAACGUCAAGCCUUGUCCGUACCUUGAUAAGAGACCACUUGGGGAUACUAGGUGCUGUAA
Acanthosepion pharaonis is the source of this 101-nucleotide non-coding RNA. The record is from the annotation of a GenBank genome assembly. Lineage: Eukaryota; Metazoa; Mollusca; Cephalopoda; Sepiida; Sepiidae.